GACAGGCUUGAAUAUGUUUUUGUCAGAGAUGGCAGUUUUGCUGUUUCAGUCUUUCACACAGGAUGGAUUAUUCUGCAGCACUUACCUGGUUCUGACACUAAGGUCCAGCACCGGUGUGUCGCAGGACUUUGACUGAUGCAUCCAUAAAACAAACUGUUUUAAUCAGGCACAAUCACCUGGGAAAGACUUCCUCAGUGAGACUCAUCCGGUUCAGACCGGUCAGAAGGUUCUAGAAAGCCCACAGCCAAGCCCAGUUAGUCUCUGACUCUGUGCAGCACCCCCCAGCCUAGAGUCCAACUAUCCAAGGCUGGACUGCUCCAAAGAUCACCAUGUGUGACGAAAAGCAUUUAGUUCACGUAGGUCAUUGUGUUGACUGUUUGGCAACCCUUCAUGUCUUCCACUCUGCCACCACUGCAAGCAUCUUGUCACUGCUGACCUAAUGAGAGUGAUGGAGAGGAGACCAGCUCUGUCCAGUCCCCAGCACCACUCAGACCCCUUCUUACUUAAACCUCUUCGUCCCCAGUGGAACAUGAGGCCGCAACUACCUGCCUCCAUCUGGGCCUGUCCUCCUGGGCAGCGUGGUGUGCCUCGCCCCCAAGUUAGCUUAGCUGUUAGCUGUUCUGAGGUCACACUUCACAGGUCACAUCUCACACAGGCCAGGCCAAAGACAUCAGAGAGGACAGACACGUCACCCCUGCAACAGGUACCGUCACAUCACCAAAGACAUCAGAGAGGACAGACACGCCACCCCGCGUGGGUACCGUCACAUCAGUGUCUUUGGAAUGCUGAAGAAUACCUGGGCCCAUCAGAUAGAAUAGAAUCAUGAGCUUGGAGCUGAAGAGAUAUUAGAUUGGACAGAGUGGCAUCACGGAGGAGCUUGGAGAUGAAGAGAUAUUAGAUUGGACAGAGUGGCAUCACGGAGGAGAAGAACAGACAGAGUGGCAUCACGGAGGAGAAGAGAAGAGGAGGAGAAGAAAAGAGAAGGGUGCAGACAAAAAAGUGAUUGUUUGCGUUGCUCUCCCCAGCGACAGCAGACAGCCCACUAUCAGCAGCACAGGGCUCCUUCACAGGCUCUGGGACAGAGGAAUGAGCUGACAUUGAGCAGAACAGAACC
Molecule: long non-coding RNA, 1114 nt
Organism: Clupea harengus (Atlantic herring)
Lineage: Eukaryota; Metazoa; Chordata; Actinopteri; Clupeiformes; Clupeidae
Source: Ensembl